This 253-nucleotide ribosomal RNA is filed under the name uncultured bacterium. RNAcentral's name for it is "partial 16S ribosomal RNA". It matches the Rfam family "Bacterial small subunit ribosomal RNA", at positions 524 to 776 of the family's 1533-position model. The record is from RNAcentral.
UACGAAGGGUGCAAGCGUUAAUCGGAAUUACUGGGCGUAAAGCGUGCGUAGGCGGUUUGUUAAGUCCGUUGUGAAAGCCCUGGGCUCAACCUGGGAAUUGCAGUGGAUACUGGCAAGCUAGAGUCAGGUAGAGGGUGGUGGAAUUCCCGGUGUAGCGGUGAAAUGCGUAGAGAUCGGGAGGAACAUCUGUGGCGAAGGCGGCCACCUGGACCAUGACUGACGCUGAGGCACGAAAGCGUGGGGAGCAAACAGG